Molecule: ribosomal RNA, 374 nt
Filed under: uncultured bacterium
Lineage: Bacteria
Description: bacterial SSU rRNA
Rfam family: Bacterial small subunit ribosomal RNA
Source: RNAcentral
AUUGAACGCUGGCGGCAUGCCUUACACAUGCAAGUCGAGCGGCAGCGCGGGGGCAACCCUGGCGGCGAGCGGCGGACGGGUGAGUAAUGCAUCGGAACGUGUCCUCUUGUGGGGGAUAACCAGUCGAAGACUGGCUAAUACCGCAUGAGCUCGUAAGAGGAAAGCAGGGGGACCCGCAAGGGCCUUGCGCGAGAGGAGCGGCCGAUGCCCGAUUAGCUAGUUGGNGGGGUAAAAGCCUACCAAGGCGACGAUCGGUAGCUGGUCUGAGAGGACGACCAGCCACACUGGGACUGAGACACGGCCCAGACUCCUACGGGAGGCAGCAGUGGGGAAUUUUGGACAAUGGGGGAAACCCUGAUCCAGCCAUGCCGCGU